GGAGGAGCUUCCUCCCCUUAACUCUGGUUUGUGCAAGCUGCACAAACUGGACGUCACAUUGGAGGCUAUGGAUCCUCGGUUUGGAUGAGGACAUCUUCAUGGGGCAUGCCACAGCUGAGAACCCUGGUUGGGAGUGUCAGCGUCUAAUGGGAAGAACCUGUUGAAGGACACACCUGCCAAAGGCUGCUUAAGAAGAGUGAUAGAGGAACCAUCAAAGGGAAGAUCUUCCACUCUAGAUCUAGCAUCAGGCGUGAGACCGGAAGACCCAAGCCAGGCAUGGCGACGGAAGUUGCCAUCACUUUAGCAGCCCCUUCCAUGGAGUGGCGAAUCGCAUGGAGUUCCUGCUUGGACACCUGCGUGGCUUCAUGGAGGAAAACUUUGGCAGGGCCCUGCUGCUCUUCAGGGAGAUGAUCUUAAAAGGGGGCAACAUGGUCCCAAAGAAAGGAAUGGUAUUUGUCAUAGUAUGCCUGGUAAUUUGUAAUUCUUGUCAAUA
This is a long non-coding RNA of Hemicordylus capensis (graceful crag lizard), 493 nucleotides long. RefSeq lists it as uncharacterized. The transcript is spliced from 3 exons. NCBI's taxonomy places the organism in Eukaryota, Metazoa, Chordata, Lepidosauria, Squamata, Cordylidae. The record is from RefSeq and is a predicted model, not a curated record.